GAGUUGUUUGGGAAUGCUGCUCAAAAUGGGAGGUAAACCCCUUCCUAAAGCUAAAUACCGGCCAGAGACCGAUAGCGCACAAGUAGAGUGAUCGAAAGAUGAAAAGCACUUUGAAAAGAGAGUUAAAAAGCACGUGAAAUUGUUGAAAGGGAAGNGCUUGCGACCAGACUCGCGCCCGUCGGAUCAGCCGUCGCUCGUCGGCGGCGCACUCCGGCGGGCUCGGGCCAGCAUCAGUUCGCCUCGGGGGGAGAAAGGCGGCGGGAAUGUGGCUCUACGGAGUGUUAUAGCCCGCCGCGUAAUACCCCCGGGCGGACUGAGGACCGCGCGUAUGCAAGGAUGCUGGCGUAAUGGUCGUCAGCNACCCGUCUUGAAACACGGA
RNAcentral lists this ribosomal RNA (379 nucleotides) under Microascus griseus. Its description in RNAcentral is "LSU rRNA". It matches the Rfam family "Eukaryotic large subunit ribosomal RNA", at positions 267 to 665 of the family's 3401-position model. The record is from RNAcentral. Lineage: Eukaryota; Fungi; Ascomycota; Sordariomycetes; Microascales; Microascaceae.